This 497-nucleotide ribosomal RNA is filed under the name uncultured bacterium. RNAcentral describes it as "partial 16S ribosomal RNA". It matches the Rfam family "Bacterial small subunit ribosomal RNA", at positions 28 to 507 of the family's 1533-position model. The record is from RNAcentral.
GAUGAACGCUGGCGGCGUGCCUAAUACAUGCAAGUCGAGCGAACAGACGAGGAGCUUGCUCCUCUGACGUUAGCGGCGGACGGGUGAGUAGCACGUGGAUAACCUACCUAUAAGACUGGGAUAACUUCGGGAAACCGGAGCUAAUACCGGAUAAUAUAUUGAACCGCAUGGUUCAAUAGUGAAAGACGGUUUCGCUGUCACUUAUAGAUGGAUCCGCGCCGCAUUAGCUAGUUGGUAAGGUAACGGCUUACCAAGGCGACGAUGCGUAGCCGACCUGAGAGGGUGAUCGGCCACACUGGAACUGAGACACGGUCCAGACUCCUACGGGAGGCAGCAGUAGGGAAUCUUCCGCAAUGGGCGAAAGCCUGACGGAGCAACGCCGCGUGAGUGAUGAAGGUCUUCGGAUCGUAAAACUCUGUUAUUAGGGAAGAACAAAUGUGUAAGUAACUAUGCACGUCUUGACGGUACCUAAUCAGAAAGCCACGGCUAACUACGUG